GAUGAACGCUGGCGGCGUGCCUAAUACAUGCAAGUCGAGCGAACAGACGAGGAGCUUGCUCCUCUGACGUUAGCGGCGGACGGGUGAGUAACACGUGGAUAACCUACCUAUAAGACUGGGAUAACUUCGGGAAACCGGAGCUAAUACCGGAUAAUAUAUUGAACCGCAUGGUUCAAUAGUGAAAGACGGUUUUGCUGUCACUUAUAGAUGGAUCCGCGCCGCAUUAGCUAGUUGGUAAGGUAACGGCUUACCAAGGCAACGAUGCGUAGCCGACCUGAGAGGGGGACCGCCCCAACGGAAAUGGAGACCCGGCCAGGCCCCCAAGGGGAGCCAGAAGGGGGGAAUCUCCCGAAAGGGGCAAAGCCCUGCGGGAGCACCGCCGCGUGAGUAAGGAGGGUCUUCGGUUGUAAAACCUUUUUUUUGAGGAAAAAAAAAUUGUGAAAGUAACUAGCCACGUCUGGAGGUUACUAAACAAGAAGCCCCCGGCAACCUACG
This 495-nucleotide ribosomal RNA is filed under the name uncultured bacterium. RNAcentral describes it as "partial 16S ribosomal RNA". It matches the Rfam family "Bacterial small subunit ribosomal RNA", at positions 28 to 505 of the family's 1533-position model. The record is from RNAcentral.